RNAcentral lists this unclassified non-coding RNA (253 nucleotides) under uncultured Acidobacteriota bacterium. RNAcentral describes it as "uncultured Acidobacteria bacterium contains 16S-23S intergenic spacer region". It matches the Rfam family "Bacterial small subunit ribosomal RNA", at positions 524 to 776 of the family's 1533-position model. Lineage: Bacteria; Pseudomonadati; Acidobacteriota. The record is from RNAcentral.
UACGGAGGGGGCGAGCGUUAUUCGGAAUUAUUGGGCGUAAAGGGCGCGUAGGCGGCUUGGCAAGUCAAAGGUGAAAUCCCUCGGCUCAACUGAGGAACUGCCUUUGAAACUGUUUGGCUUGAGUCCGGGAGGGGGUAGCGGAAUUCCCAGUGUAGCGGUGAAAUGCGUAGAUAUUGGGAGGAACACCAGUGGCGAAGGCGGCUACCUGGACCGGAACUGACGCUGAUGCGCGAAAGCGUGGGUAGCAAACAGG